This 965-nucleotide unclassified non-coding RNA is filed under the name Hevea brasiliensis (rubber tree). Lineage: Eukaryota; Viridiplantae; Streptophyta; Magnoliopsida; Malpighiales; Euphorbiaceae. The record is from RNAcentral.
AGUCAUUGCAGCAGUGUGCAUCUGCCAUCUCUGAAUUAGUACGUGAAAAGAUGGAGGUAGGUAGGCAACUGGAAGCAUUCUCGAUACAACUGGUUAUUCUUGCAAUUUGGAAGCAAGCACUUCAUAUUUGCCACACAGAGGCCGCCUCAGCUAUUGAAGGAAGUCCAAGCCAAGAGAGCCCAAGGUUGAGGCGAAGCAGCGACAAGAAACAUGGGACUCCUGAUACAGAAGACGGUGCUGAUGUUGGGCCAGAGAAUAUCUCCACUCAGAUUGAGAGGGAGUUUUUAAGGGAAGUUGAACAUGCUGAGGAACUCGCCAAGGCUAUUGAACCUGGAAAUAUCGAGAUGCCUGAUGCCAUGGAGACAAUAUUUCAAUCUGCCCUUGCUCUGGGAAAACUUGGAGGAGUUGCGGAGCUCAUGCGUGAAAUGGAAAGUGCAUCUUUCUUAUAUUCAAAAGCAGUACGCUUGUUUGUCUUCCUUCUUGCGGAAGCACCAUCCCUCAUUUUCAAUCCUCCAUUUUCUCUCACAAACUCAGAUCGAUAUAGACUCCGUACAUAUAUUCAUAUCCUUAAUAAUAGGCAGGGCCAUUCAGUCUCAAAGGAUGGCACUUCUCAAUGCGAUGAAUAACAAUGUCCUCCCUAGGAUAUUAAAGUUUUUACACUGUUACCUAUUGUCUUGAUUACGUUUGCCAUGUAAAAUUGUUUUUUUGUACAGCUAUUCUUUUAGAUUCUGGGAUUGGGAUAUUGUCAUAGGUCAACCUGUGUAUUUAGGGGAGGGUGUUGUAAUAUUCUCAUUUAAUGUGAUUCAGGGAACGAUGGCCUUAAAAAAAAAAAAAAAGGAUGGAUGAAAGAAAGAUCUGAAGAACGAAGCAAUGUGCAUAAGUUUUGCAUUGGAUAAGCUUUCUGUUGGCAGCUUUGCUUCAAUGGUUAUAGAGAUCAAAUAAUCUCCAUAUCAUCAAAUUAGUCG